AGGAGAAAGUGGAAGUCAAAGAGGAUGAUAAAGGAAAAAAAAAAAAGCAAAACCCCAGCAGUGGUCAAAACAAACUCAAUUGACUGCCUCUGUGACGAAUUUCAAUAAAUCUUUCUUAUUUCUUUUUGCUAAAAUGGGAAGAUGAAGGAAAGAAGGUGGUGGGAUCCUUUAAUUUUCUCUUUCAGACUAUGGCUUGGAUGAAGCAAUGUUGAAUAAAAUGAAUUUCAACAAGAAUGAAUGGAUGGAAAAAAGACACUGAGUUAAACUGAAAAGAGUCCUUGGAUUUGUUCAACAGAGUUGCAAUUGGGGUAGUUUCUGUGCUACUAAAUACUAUAUUCUAAGCUAAAGUAGUGUAUCUGACCAGAAUUUUUAGAUGGAGGAGAAAAAGGACCUAGGAGGACAUGUUAGACUCAACUCAGGUGUUUCUUGACAUUGGUCAAUGACUAUGUGAGUUUUAGAUGUCAUAAAGUUACCUUGUAUUACAAGCAAAUUUUUCUUUGGCAAAAACUAGCGAGAUUUGAAAAAUUGCAUGUUUAUUUUACAGCAAAGUAAUAAGAUUACUUUUAUUUUCAAUUCAUCUAGUCAAAGAAAGGUAAAAAUGACAUCAUUU
Melozone crissalis (California towhee) is the source of this 610-nucleotide long non-coding RNA. RefSeq lists it as uncharacterized. The record is from RefSeq and is a predicted model, not a curated record. The transcript has 3 exons. NCBI's taxonomy places the organism in Eukaryota, Metazoa, Chordata, Aves, Passeriformes, Passerellidae.